This 408-nucleotide long non-coding RNA is filed under the name Equus asinus (donkey). Its description in RNAcentral is "lncRNA (ENSEASG00005034006.1)". The record is from RNAcentral. Lineage: Eukaryota; Metazoa; Chordata; Mammalia; Perissodactyla; Equidae.
CACAUGCCAGCGGAAGGAUGAUAAAGUCCAGGAAAAUUCAAGGACCUGCCACCACAAGUUUCCAGGAAGAGAAACUUGGACUGAAAUGCAGAGAGAACACACAUGACAUUGGACGUCCUCACAAUGCCUAAAACUCUGAGCACGGCAGCACAGGCAGAAGCACAACCCACUGACUGUGGACUCCGACAAAAUCAGAGAGACCAAUAAGGAACAAUUUGCAGACUAAGACCAGUCCGGGGAAUACACUUGGAAGAGCAGACGUCCUCAAAGCCAUGAUGUAGUGAGAGUAGGAGGCCCUGGAACAAACCCUGAGACACACUGAACUCAAGCAGAGGUGUGGAGGUGAGGGGCCAGGAGCAUGUUCAGUAAAGGAGACUGAAAUAACACUGUUUGAAUAUAUGAAAUAAC